GACGAACGCUGGCGGCGUGCCUAAUACAUGCAAGUCGAACGAACUCUGGUAUUGAUUGGUGCUUGCAUCAUGAUUUACAUUUGAGUGAGUGGCGAACUGGUGAGUAACACGUGGGAAACCUGCCCAGAAGCGGGGGAUAACACCUGGAAACAGAUGCUAAUACCGCAUAACAACUUGGACCGCAUGGUCCGAGUUUGAAAGAUGGCUUCGGCUAUCACUUUUGGAUGGUCCCGCGGCGUAUUAGCUAGAUGGUGGGGUAACGGCUCACCAUGGCAAUGAUACGUAGCCGACCUGAGAGGGUAAUCGGCCACAUUGGGACUGAGACACGGCCCAAACUCCUACGGGAGGCAGCAGUAGGGAAUCUUCCACAAUGGACGAAAGUCUGAUGGAGCAACGCCGCGUGAGUGAAGAAGGGUUUCGGCUUCGUAAAACUCUGUUGUUAAAGAAGAACAUAUCUGAGAGUAACUGUUCAGGUAUUGACGGUAUUUAACCAGAAAGCCACGGCUAACUACGUGCCAGCAGCCGCGGUAAUACGUAGGUGGCAAGCGUUGUCCGGAUUUAUUGGGCGUAAAGCGAGCGCAGGCGGUUUUUUAAGUCUGAUGUGAAAGCCUUCGGCUCAACCGAAGAAGUGCAUCGGAAACUGGGAAACUUGAGUGCAGAAGAGGACAGUGGAACUCCAUGUGUAGCGGUGAAAUGCGUAGAUAUAUGGAAGAACACCAGUGGCGAAGGCGGCUGUCUGGUCUGUAACUGACGCUGAGGCUCGAAAGUAUGGGUAGCAAACAGGAUUAGAUACCCUGGUAGUCCAUACCGUAAACGAUGAAUGCUAAGUGUUGGAGGGUUUCCGCCCUUCAGUGCUGCAGCUAACGCAUUAAGCAUUCCGCCUGGGGAGUACGGCCGCAAGGCUGAAACUCAAAGGAAUUGACGGGGGCCCGCACAAGCGGUGGAGCAUGUGGUUUAAUUCGAAGCUACGCGAAGAACCUUACCAGGUCUUGACAUACUAUGCAAAUCUAAGAGAUUAGACGUUCCCUUCGGGGACAUGGAUACAGGUGGUGCAUGGUUGUCGUCAGCUCGUGUCGUGAGAUGUUGGGUUAAGUCCCGCAACGAGCGCAACCCUUAUUAUCAGUUGCCAGCAUUAAGUUGGGCACUCUGGUGAGACUGCCGGUGACAAACCGGAGGAAGGUGGGGAUGACGUCAAAUCAUCAUGCCCCUUAUGACCUGGGCUACACACGUAGCUACAAUGGGAUGGUACAACGAGUUGCGAACUCGCGAGAGUAAGCUAAUCUCUUAAAGCCAUUCUCAGUUCGGAUUGUAGGCUGCAACUCGCCUACAUGAAGUCGGAAUCGCUAGUAAUCGCGGAUCAGCAUGCCGCGGUGAAUACGUUCCCGGGCCUUGUACACACCGCCCGUCACACCAUGAGAGUUUGUAACACCCAAAGUCGGUGGGGUAACCUUUUAGGAACCAAGCCGCCUAAGGUGGGACAGAUGAUUAGGGUG
Molecule: ribosomal RNA, 1493 nt
Filed under: Lactiplantibacillus plantarum
Lineage: Bacteria; Bacillati; Bacillota; Bacilli; Lactobacillales; Lactobacillaceae
Description: bacterial SSU rRNA
Rfam family: Bacterial small subunit ribosomal RNA
Source: RNAcentral